Molecule: long non-coding RNA, 1488 nt
Organism: Alnus glutinosa
Lineage: Eukaryota; Viridiplantae; Streptophyta; Magnoliopsida; Fagales; Betulaceae
Exons: 4
Source: RefSeq, a predicted model, not a curated record
UCUAUUGAAGUUUCUCUCACAGUCUCAUUCUCGAGAGGGACCUGUUCUUCUCUCUCUCUCUCCGGCACGCCGCCGUCGCCUGACCUCGACUCCACGUCAGCUCGCCUCAGCCGCCGCUCCCUUCAUCUCGAUGCCAUUUGUUACGUGCGUACAAUCAUAAGUUGCGCUAUGGACAAGAGUUGGAUCUCAAUGCCUAGGAACUCCAAAGAGUUUAGGAACGGUGUUUUGGACUUUAUUGAGUUUGCACUUGAAAACACAAAAGCACUUGGGAGAAUUACGUGCCCAUGUAAGAAGUAUUAUGUCCGCAAGACACUAAUUCCCCAUGAUGUAUACAACCAUUUGGUUUGGCGAAAAGGAGGAGGAUUUUUGCAGGGUUACACAACAUGGUUCUUUCAUGGGGUACAAUUGCCAAGCAUUACUGGUCAGGCCACUAACGCUCCCGUUAUCAGCAAGCCAAUACAUGAAGGCUGCAAUAUGGCUCUUGUCAAUAGGGAGCCAAUACAUGAAGGCUCCAGUGGGAUGCAAGCCAUGUUGCAUGAUGUUUUUCCCAUGCACAAUAUUCAGGUAGAUGAAGGUGGGUCUUAGAUGGGUGUGGAAGCGGCGACCAAAAUUUUAAGAGGAGCCGAUGUCACAACAACCUCCAUCGACUCGAGGAUCCACGCAAGGGACCAUUAAUUGGGAUCCAAAUGCCCCAUACUCCAAGGUUUUAGGCAAGAAACGGCCUGGGCGUGUACAUAGAGUGGGGUUUGGGUGUCUGGGUCAUCGGCCUCGAUUUCAUGCAUGCCAUCAGGUACCUGCAAUUAAUGAUCCUAAACAUGCGGGAUUUGUCGAAUUUAAAAAACACGUGGGCAAAGAAUUUCUACGGGUAUAUGCUAAGUUCGAUGAGAUUUUCGCAUUGCAGAUGAGAGCUGCAUCAAAAGAUAGCUAUAACAACACGCCUGUUUGCCCAGGUGGUUUUUCCCAUGUAGAAGAUGAUAAUGAGGAUGAGGCUAACGAUUAGGUAUCAACUUUGUUCAUCAAUUUGUGGUUAUCAGUUAUUGUUAUGGGCCUGGCAUAGGGUGCAUCAGUCAGGUCCAUCAAUGACAGUGAAUGUUCUAGAAGGGCUGGCGUUUUAUACAAAGACUUGCAGCGUUUUGGGUUUUCCAUUUGCAUUUGCGUUUUAUGUUUUAUUCUUGGGCGUUUUGAUAUCAUGUACAACAUGCGUCCAUGCUAGAUUUGCUUUUGUAAUCUGCAUUCUAGAAGGUUCUGGUAUCUAGUGAGCUGUAAGGAAUCGAGUGAGCUGUACAAAUUUUCUAACAGAAUUGGCUAUUUAAGAAGGGAUGCAGUGGGUAGUAGAGAUAAGAAAAGAAUAUUGAGGCUAAGUUGUUUCCUUGAGAGAUUGGGCAUCUCGAAAGUGCCCGUAGCUACUAUUUACUGAAUUAUCCAUCUCUAAUCUUCAUCUUCUUUCCUGAAUUCCUUCCUAUUUUGCCUUGCUUGCUUAUAAUUUCU